GGCACUGAGUGGCUCAGUUGGUUAGAACGUGGUGCUGAUAAUGCCAAGGUCACAGGUUCGAUCCCUGUGUGGGUCG
RNAcentral lists this transfer RNA (76 nucleotides) under Podarcis lilfordi (Lilford's wall lizard). Its description in RNAcentral is "tRNA.Ile". The stretch from base 10 to 68 matches the Rfam family "tRNA", at positions 8 to 63 of the family's 71-position model. From Rfam's summary of the family: Transfer RNA (tRNA) molecules are approximately 80 nucleotides in length. Their secondary structure includes four short double-helical elements and three loops (D, anti-codon, and T loops). The record is from RNAcentral. Lineage: Eukaryota; Metazoa; Chordata; Lepidosauria; Squamata; Lacertidae.